GGCCGGGGUGCAGCACCUGGCCGGGGGCAACCAGGGCCCCCUCGGGGCGGACAGCGCUGGGCUCGCUCACCCCGCAGCCGCAGGGGAAAUCGCGUUACUUCAGGGGGCCUCGAGCGGGGGACUCGUUAGAGGGUCGGAGCCGGGCGGAGAGGGGCCCUCCCGGUCCCCACGAGCCCGGUCCGCUCCAGGCCCGGGAGGCUCCGCUGACGCUAGGGGGCGCCUGCCCGUGUCAAGAAGAACAGGCGUCGGCACGUGCAGGAUCAGGCUGGACACUUGGCCUUGCCUGGCUUCAGCCAGAGCCUGAGUGUGAAGUGUUGCCGGGCAGCAGAGAGCUACUCACAGGGCACUUGGAGCGGGAGAGGGCCCACAACGGAAAGCAAAGUAAUAGUUCUUGGAGGUUUUAGUCUGAAAACCGACUGCUAACAUGGGCUGCUUCUUACCAAGAAGCCUGCUACCUACCUCUCCGUAGCUGUUGCCCUUUGAGCGGGGGAUGCACAUGUCCACACUGUAGGCAUGUGCCUGUUUCGGGCAGUAGUGAGAGAACCUUUUUCCAAAGCAGUACCUGUCAAAGCCAGAGGGGCACCGCCUGCCACUGCGGGCGGUCUAAGAGGGUGGAACCUUCCCCCCUUUCACUUCCUUCCUACCGCCUAGACUUUACUAGAGAGGGGAAGGAAGGUGGCUUGUGGAAUGGACAUGUGCAGCACAUUUCAAACAACAACACUUUUGGAAAGGACUCUGAGUACUAAUGGAAUUAGAGGAAAGGCAUACAGCCGUGAGUUCAUCGGUGAUAGCUGAAAAGCAUCUGUCAAAGACCCAGGUCUGGAAUUCUCUCAGCAGCAGAACAGGAGGCAUUUGUUGCAAACAGGUCCAUGCGAGAAGUUUCCCCAGAGCUGGAAGAUGAGCCUAGCCACAUCUGGACCUAGUGACCAUUCAUGGUGAGGGGACAAAGACCUGCUCAGCUGAUCUACUGAUGUGUUCUGCUCUCCUGGGAGGUUUUUAGAAUUGAUCUGACUUGACUGAGUAAUAGACACAGUUCAUUGAGAGUGGACUGAAUGAUACCCACACUGAAUAGCACUUGAGAGUUCAACCAGUCUGUCACCAACCAAUCGUCCAGGUGGGGAGUGCACGGAUUCCCAAUCCUCUCAGAUAUACAACUACCUUACCUUGCACAUUGUGAAAACUCAAGGGGCUGCUGCUGACAGACCAAAUUAAAGUAGUGUAAAUUGGUAAUGUGUUUCGUUUGCUAGGAACAUGAUGAACUUCCAGUGGUCUAGACAGAUCACUAUAUGGAAGUAAGCGUCUUUUAAGUCAAGGGCAGCAUACCAGUGGCCCUGUUCAGGGAAGGAAUGAUGGUAGCUAGGGUAACCAUGGGGAUCUUCAUUUUCUUCAGGUACUUGCUUAACUCCCUUAGAUCUAAAAUACCCCCUUUUGUUUUGGGAAUUAAGGAAAUAGCAGGAAUAAAAACUGUUCCCCCUGAGGAGUAGAGGAACUUCCUCUACUGCACCCACUGGAAGGAGAGAUUAAACCUGUUGUAAAACGGUCUCCUGAGAGUGGUUCUUGAAGAGGGAUGGAGAAGGGGGAGGAUAGAAACAAAUUGAAGUCAAUAUCCCACAUCCACCAUACUUAGGACCCACCAAACUUAUGUGACAUGAGUCUAAGCACAGAGGAAGUUGUAAAGACAAUAGGCAAAGGUAAGGGUAGGAACAGAUUCAUCUGUAAGUAUUGACAUGCUGCCUUUGACAAGCCUGUCAAAAAUGCAUGUUUAGACUGGGCCAUUGGUUGAGAGGAAUCUGCUGUCGCAGAUGAGAGAGGCGGUGGUCAAUUUCUAUAAUUCCUGUCCCUUUUUUUUUGGCAGGUCUUGGGGCUGAGGUAUAAAGCUCUGAUAUCUGUGAGCCUUCUGGGGCCAGAAUUGCUUCCUCUUCAUUGCCAGUGUAUAAAUUCCAAGGGACUUCAGUAUUGCCCUGGAAUCUUGUAAGCUAUGCCGCCUAUUGUCCAUCGUUUCUGAAAAGAGGGAUGGACCCUCAAAUGGCAAAUCCUAGAUGGUCUGCUGUGCUUCAGGAGGGAGACCAGACGAUUGCAGCCAUGAACUUCUCCUCAUAGAAAUAGCAGAUGUCAUGGAACAAGCUACUGAGUCUGCUGCAUCCUAACUGUUGUGAAUAGCUGUCCUUGCACCCCCGCUUACCCUCCUCUACCAUGAGUGAGAACCUGCCUGGAAUCCUCUGGUAGCCUGUCUUUAAACUUCAGGAUGUUUUCUCAUAGGGUAAAAUCAUAGCAAUUUAGGAGGGCUAGCUGGUUAACAAUUCUUGGCUGCAGACCUUCUGUUGAAUAAGUUUAUGACCAAACAGG
Molecule: long non-coding RNA, 2346 nt
Organism: Trachemys scripta elegans
Lineage: Eukaryota; Metazoa; Chordata; Testudines; Emydidae
Exons: 3
Source: RefSeq, a predicted model, not a curated record